AUCUGACUAUUAAGAAGAGGAGGAGCAGGAAAUGACUACUGAGCAGCUGCCUUUCUCUGCUCUGAAAACCUGCUUUCCACUCUUCCUCACCCUCUGUGGUGUCCGGGGAGCCUCCACUGAAUGGGCUGCACUAAGCAGCUCCUGGCCGUGGGCAUCUGUUGAAUUUGGACGGGAAAGGCACCAGCGCGAAAGAGAUGCGGAGGUGUCCAUUCUCCGCCUUCCGUCCCUGCGCGGGCUGUGUCAGUUGGCAGCGUCUCCCCGAGAACGCCAUCAGCUCCUGUCAGACAGCCCUCUCCGUGAAGCUGUCCCUGGGGUCUCACUAAAUCCUUCCCACACCUUUGUAGCUACUCCUCUUACUUAAUGUUCCUCAAAGUUCCCCGUCUGACUCUACGGACCAUAUCCUGGCAGGAACCUGACUGAUAGACUAGAGAUAAUAUUUUGCAUAUUUAUUUCCAAAAUAUUUCCAGUAACAAAAACUUACAAUUUGGACCCAGCUUUUGUCCUUUAAUGUUGUAUGACAAAUAUUUUAAUCUUAUAAAAAUAUUAAUUGAAAACAUUUCUUGUACGGUAAUAUUUAUUCCAUUUAUGUUUUAAGCACCUAAUGAUUACCGAAUAUUUGGAUUAUUUCCCAUUUCUUCCGUUACAUAAAUAACUGUGAUGAUACAUUUAUCUGGAUUCUUAAUUAUUUUGUUUAAAAAGCUCUUUCUCAAACUUGAAGUUAUGAAUGCAUUCUCUACCUUUUUUUUUUUUUUUUUUUUUGGUCUUUUUAGGACAUGAUAUUACUGUGCAGUUCGGAAUGGCCUUGAACUCACUUUGUAGCCCAGGCUGGCUUCGAACUUGCAGUAAUCCUUCUGCCUCAGCCUCCCGAGUGCUGAGAUUGCAUGUGUAUGCCACCAUGCCCCUCCUGAACACAUUCUUUUACAGUGGCUUCUAAAAGCUUUAUUGGUCAGUUUACAUAACAUGACUUGAGUUUUCUUUCACAUGCAUUCCCAAGAUAUCCCAGCACAAUUUAUUUAAGUGCCUAUCCUCUCUCCAUUGCUCAGCAAAACCACUUUUCUCAUAAACUGAAUACCCAUAUCCACAUAGGUCUAUUUCUGGGUUUUAGUCUGUUCCAUUGGCCUGUGUAACCUUAGGAGAAUACCAUAUUAUUUAGCUAAGAAAGAUUUCUAAUGCUGGUGGUACUGCCAAAUAUUUCUCCUGCAAUGGCCAUGGCAAAAUCUCCAGAAAGUUUCCUGAAGCCUCAGGGGGACGGCAAGGGCCGUGCUGUCUGUGGCUGCGGGGAACAGCAAAUAGUAAUGAUGUGUGAUGAUGAGCAGUCGCCCCCGAAGGUCUUACCUUCCAAAUGCAGCACAAGCCCAUGGACAGCAAAAAGCAACAGCAGAGACAGUCUACGAUAAACAGAUGGAGCAACGCUGUGCUGUGCAUGGAGUGGAGCUGUGAACAGAAAGUCCCCCAGCAGUGUGCGGUGCAGAGAAGGGGACGAACUAUGUUGCUCAGAGUGGUGCAUUACGAUUAAUUCCCGUCUUUUGCCAUAUAUUAAGCUGUAGCAGUUUCUCUCUUUCCUAUUCUGAGGAUUUGACUUCACUGACUGCUGCAAGUUGAAAAUCCAGGUAGCUCAGGGCAACCUAAGAAUACUGUCUCUUCCAAAGUAAUGGCUAGUGACCAGCUACAAAAGGUUGAAACUUUUCAAUAAAAACAAACACGAAGACACACUUUAAAUAAGCUGUGUGUGCUCGCUCUCAGUUUUCUGUCAGACUCCCAGAGAAAGCAAGUUAUCUCUCCAAAUGAGUUUUCUAAUCACCUAAAAAAUUUAGAGCUUUCCAUUUCCCUUGUGACUAGUCAUACUGAAUAUUUUCAAAUUAAUGCAUCUCACAGUUAAUACAUAUGACAUCGUUAUUUUCUUACAAAUUCACAGUCAGGUUUUGAAAUGAAUAGGCCCAUAAUAGCAGAAGAGAUCUGCACGGUUUCAAAUAUCUUAAAAGCUCAUUUUAUCCAUUCUAUUCUGGUCUAUUCUAGUCUACUCUAGCCUUCUGGCCUUCCUGCCUUCCUUCCUUCCUUCCCUUCCUCCUUCCCUCCCUUCCGCCCUCUUUCUUUCUUUGUCUUUCUUUUUCUUUUUCUUUUUCUUUUUCUUUUUCUUUUUCUUUUUCUUUUUCUUUUUCUUUCUCUUUCUCUUUUUCUUUCUUUCUUUCUUUCUUUCUUUCUUUCUUUCUUUCUUUCUUUCUUUCUUUCUUUCUUUCUCUCUUUCUCUUGAGACAGGGUCUCGCUAUAUACUCCAGGCUGGCCUUGAACUCACUAUAUAGCCCAGGUUGCCUCGAACUCAUACCACUUCUCCUGCCUCAGUCUCCCAAGUGCAGGGAUUACAGGUGUGCACCACCACAUCCAGUUUAUUCCUCCUAAAUUCUGAAAGACUAGCUGAAGUAAAACAAAUGCCUCUUUUCCUGAGUUUAAUUUCUUGAAACUGGUGAGAAAUACCACACAUCAAAAAUGUUAAACUUUAAAACUGAAAUCUUUUCAUAUUUAUCUAACAAAUAUUAGCCUCUCCUUCAUGUUCAAAUGCUGGCUUUCAUAGCUAUUAGAAUUCUUGUAUCUUUGAUGUUGCUUUACACUGGUUAGAGAGCAGGGCAGACAAGGUUCGACUCUUCUUCGUUUCUAUAAAGGAUGGUGCUUUCUAAGAUUCAAUUCAAGAUGCUGCCUAUCAAGGGAUGUUUAUUAGUCAAAUUAAUAUGAGUUAAUAUGAACACUAGCACAAAUUUUAGAAUGAUAUGUUUAAAAAAGAGGAAAGUUAUUCUGCAAAACUAUUUUGACAGCAAGUCAAAAGUUAAGGUGAAAAAUAAAUCAAUAUUUCUUAAUAAAUGAUAUUUUUAAAUGAUACUUAUUUUUCAAAAUUGUUUUAUUUUAAGAACAAAUAGGUGCUAAGGCUGGAAUGGACAGUAAGUGACUCGUGUGUUCUGAACCUCUCACCAUGGUAUCUGUUCCAAGAGAAAGUUCACUUGCCAACUUUGACGUCCCUAUGUAAUUUCUGUUCUCUCGCUGUAUCAGUCAGUGCUUACUAGAGAAACAGAUUUAAUGCAAGGUACACAAAUAUGUGAGAAUUUACAGUAUUGGCUCACAUGAUCACCCACAGAGGCAGGUGUGGAAAAGUCGAAAAGAGCCGUCUACAUGUUGGCAAUCUGAAGGUUCAAGUCAAAGGCCUGGAGCUCAGUGUAGUGUCCUGUGCGAGUCUGCAUAAGGAGGCAGAAGCAUCUGCAGGGGAAGCCAGGAGGUGGCAUCCAAGGUGAAGGUGAAGACUGGAGCCACUCCAAGGAAACAGAAGCAAGGCUUCCUUCUUCAUUUUCCUUUUACAUCAUUCUGGUGACAAACUGCUCUAGGGCGGGUCUUCUGCCUUCAGUAAAUCCCCUCAGCCACACUCACAAGUAUGCUGGUCCAACUUACUCAAGUUGACACCAUCAGUCAACUGUCACACUCAUUUUCUGGUCUUUACCAUAGCUGCUUUACAGCAGGUGCAAUAGGGGCUUAGUAACUCAGAUUUUCACAAUAGUUCUAUAAAGUAUUCUGGGGUAUAGGUCACUUGAGUGUGGAAGAGCCCUUGAAGCCUCAAAAAUCCAAGCCUUAAAAAAAGCCAACAUAAGUCUAGCUCUAAAGUUAUUAAAGUGCUAUCAAAGUAGAUACAGGAAAAACAAACCAACUCAACUUUUAAUUUUAAUAACCAAGCUUCUUGGGAACUCACUGAGAGGAAAAUAGUAAAAUGUUUUUCUGACAAGAUGACCUGAUAAUUUUAGGGGAAUAUUUUCC
Molecule: long non-coding RNA, 3792 nt
Organism: Chinchilla lanigera (long-tailed chinchilla)
Lineage: Eukaryota; Metazoa; Chordata; Mammalia; Rodentia; Chinchillidae
Source: Ensembl